This 272-nucleotide long non-coding RNA is filed under the name Elaeis guineensis (African oil palm). RNAcentral describes it as "long non-coding RNA (EGUI_LNC022042)". Lineage: Eukaryota; Viridiplantae; Streptophyta; Magnoliopsida; Arecales; Arecaceae. The record is from RNAcentral.
AGGCCAGUUGAAGGUUAAUCAAAUGAGGACACCACGCCAGGGCAUAGACUUUGGAACACAAUCCAUUUGAGCUCUUGCCAUUAACCAAAUCAUGAUAAUUAAAUAUUCAACCCUUGCAUGGAUGGUGCAACCGCAAGCAACCAACUCAAAGGUAAGCUUUUUAGAUAUCCACAUGUUGGGUAUAAAAUACCCCCAGCCGAAGUUCGUAAAAGGCCGACCCUCCCUGAGCUCUUCCGGCUUCCGACCUUGCGCGAUGUCUUUCUGAACUCCCC